RNAcentral lists this ribosomal RNA (292 nucleotides) under uncultured Staphylococcus sp. RNAcentral describes it as "partial 16S ribosomal RNA". It matches the Rfam family "Bacterial small subunit ribosomal RNA", at positions 505 to 796 of the family's 1533-position model. The record is from RNAcentral. Lineage: Bacteria; Bacillati; Bacillota; Bacilli; Caryophanales; Staphylococcaceae.
GUGCCAGCAGCCGCGGUAAUACGUAGGUGGCAAGCGUUAUCCGGAAUUAUUGGGCGUAAAGCGCGCGUAGGCGGUUUUUUAAGUCUGAUGUGAAAGCCCACGGCUCAACCGUGGAGGGUCAUUGGAAACUGGAAAACUUGAGUGCAGAAGAGGAAAGUGGAAUUCCAUGUGUAGCGGUGAAAUGCGCAGAGAUAUGGAGGAACACCAGUGGCGAAGGCGACUUUCUGGUCUGUAACUGACGCUGAUGUGCGAAAGCGUGGGGAUCAAACAGGAUUAGAUACCCUUGUAGUCC